AAUAUUGGACAAUGGGGGCAACUCUGAUCCAGCCAUGCCGCGUGUGUGAAGAAGGUCUNCGGAUUNUNAAGCACUUUAAGCUGGGNGGAAGGGCACUAGGUUAUUAUCAUGAAGUUCUGCCGUCACCAACCGAAUAACCCCCGGCUAACUCUGUGCCCGCAGCCGCGGUAAUACAGCGGGUGGAAGUAUUAAUUGGUAUUACUGGGCGUAAUGCGGGCGGUGGUGGUUCAGUAAGGAGGGUGUGAAAUCCCCGGGCUUAACCUGGGAGCUGCUUUCAUAACUGCUGAGCUAGAGUACGGUAGAGGGUAGUGGAAUUUCCUGUGUAGCGGUGAAAUGCGUAGAUAUAGGAAGGAACACCAGUGGCGAAGGCGACUACCUGGACUGAUACUGACACUGAGGUGCGAAAGCGUGGGGAGCAAAC
Molecule: ribosomal RNA, 421 nt
Filed under: uncultured bacterium
Lineage: Bacteria
Description: partial 16S ribosomal RNA
Rfam family: Bacterial small subunit ribosomal RNA
Source: RNAcentral